GGGAGUAACGGCUGUCAGGAUUAUUGGGCGUAAGAGCUCGUAGGCGGUCUGUCGCGUCUGGUGUGAAAACUCGAGGCUCAACCUCGAGCUUGCAUCGGGUACGGGCAGACUAGAGUGCGGUAGGGGAGACUGGAAUUCCUGGUGUAGCGGUGGAAUGCGCAGAUAUCAGGAGGAACACCGAUGGCGAAGGCAGGUCUCUGGGCCGCAACUGACGCUGAGGAGCGAAAGCAUGGGGAGCGAACAGGAUUAGAUACCCUGGUAGUCCAUGCCGUAAACGUUGGGCACUAGGUGUGGGGCUCAUUCCACGAGUUCCGUGCCGCAGCAAACGCAUUAAGUGCCCCGCCUGGGGAGUACGGCCGCAAGGCUAAAACUCAAAGGAAUUGACGGGGGCCCGCACAAGCGGCGGAGCAUGCGGAUUAAUUCGAUGCAACGCGAAGAACCUUACCAAGGCUUGACAUGCACGGGAAGCCACCAGAGAUGGUGGUCUCUUUGGACACUCGUGCACAGGUGGUGCAUGGUUGUCGUCAGCUCGUGUCGUGAGAUGUUGGGUUAAGUCCCGCAACGAGCGCAACCCUCGUCCCAUGUUGCCAGCGGGUUAUGCCGGGGACUCAUGGGAGACUGCCGGGGUCAACUCGGAGGAAGGUGGGGAUGACGUCAAAUCAUCAUGCCCCUUAUGUCUUGGGCUUCACGCAUGCUACAAUGGCCGGUACAAAGGGCUGCGAUACCGUAAGGUGGAGCGAAUCCCAAAAAGCCGGUCUCAGUUCGGAUUGGGGUCUGCAACUCGACCCCAUGAAGUCGGAGUCGCUAGUAAUCGCAGAUCAGCAACGCUG
RNAcentral lists this ribosomal RNA (830 nucleotides) under Cellulosimicrobium sp. SKS69. Its description in RNAcentral is "bacterial SSU rRNA". It matches the Rfam family "Bacterial small subunit ribosomal RNA", at positions 531 to 1359 of the family's 1533-position model. The record is from RNAcentral. Lineage: Bacteria; Bacillati; Actinomycetota; Actinomycetes; Micrococcales; Promicromonosporaceae.